CCAGCUGUUGAGACUAAGGCGAAUGCGACUGGGUGCUGUCUGACCCUUGGCUCCUCGUUGGGGGUGGCGAAUAUAGGUGGGAUCUGGAGUCUUAGUGGGGGUACCCGAGGCUGGCUCCCCACUGUAAGGCCAGAUCGAUAGCACUACUGGCCUUGCCUCCAUUUCUGCUGCUGCGCCCAGUUCUCAGCAGCAGCCUUCAGGGAGGCCCACAGGUGGAGCCCAAAGAAGAGGAAAAAAAAAAAGGAAAAAGAAAAAUAACGAAAAUAUCAGCAUGGAUUACA
This 281-nucleotide small nucleolar RNA is filed under the name Propithecus coquereli (Coquerel's sifaka). The record is from RNAcentral. Lineage: Eukaryota; Metazoa; Chordata; Mammalia; Primates; Indriidae.